Ictidomys tridecemlineatus (thirteen-lined ground squirrel) is the source of this 72-nucleotide non-coding RNA. NCBI's taxonomy places the organism in Eukaryota, Metazoa, Chordata, Mammalia, Rodentia, Sciuridae. The record is from Rfam.
UGAGGUGUAGCUCAGUGGGAGAGCACUUGCCUAGCACCUGUGAGGCACUGGGUUCGAUCCUCAGCACUACAU